This 31-nucleotide non-coding RNA is filed under the name Mus musculus (house mouse). The record is from RNAcentral. Lineage: Eukaryota; Metazoa; Chordata; Mammalia; Rodentia; Muridae.
UGGAAAAGCUCACAGUCCUAACACACAGCCA